UCAGUCGACUCCUACGGGAGGCAGCAGUGAGGAAUAUUGGUCAAUGGAGGCAACUCUGAACCAGCCAUGCCGCGUGAAGGAAGAAUGCCCUAUGGGUUGUAAACUUCUUUUAUUUGGGAAGAAACCUUUCUACGUGUAGAAAGCUGACGGUACCAAACGAAUAAGGACCGGCUAACUCCGUGCCAGCAGCCGCGGUAAUACGGAGGGUCCAAGCGUUAUCCGGAAUCAUUGGGUUUAAAGGGUUCGCAGGCGGUUUAUUAAGUCAGUGGUGAAAUCUCGGGGCUCAACUCCGAAACUGCCAUUGAUACUGAUAAACUUGAGUAUAGUUGAAGUAGGCGGAAUGUGUAGUGUAGCGGUGAAAUGCUUAGAUAUUACACAGAACACCGAUAGCGAAGGCAGCUUACUAAGCUAUUACUGACGCUCAUGAACGAAAGCGUGGGGAGCGAACAGGAUUAGAUACCCUGGUAG
Molecule: ribosomal RNA, 468 nt
Filed under: uncultured bacterium
Lineage: Bacteria
Description: bacterial SSU rRNA
Rfam family: Bacterial small subunit ribosomal RNA
Source: RNAcentral